UGCAGCAACGCCGCGUGAGGGACGACGGCCUUCGGGUUGUAAACCUCUUUUAGCAGGGAAGAAGCGAAAGUGACGGUACCUGCAGAAAAAGCACCGGCUAACUACGUGCCAGCAGCCGCGGUAAUACGUAGGGUGCAAGCGUUAUCCGGAAUUAUUGGGCGUAAAGAGCUCGUAGGCGGUUUGUCGCGUCUGCUGUGAAAACUGGGGGCUCAACCCCCAGCCUGCAGUGGGUACGGGCAGACUAGAGUGCGGUAGGGGAGAUUGGAAUUCCUGGUGUAGCGGUGGAAUGCGCAGAUAUCAGGAGGAACACCGAUGGCGAAGGCAGAUCUCUGGGCCGUAACUGACGCUGAGGAGCGAAAGGGUGGGGAGCAAACAGGCUUAGAUACCCUGGUAGUCCACCCCGUAAACGUUGGGAACUAGUUGUGGGGUCCAUUCCACGGAUUCCGUGACGCAGCUAACGCAUUAAGUUCCCCGCCUGGGGAGUACGGCCGCAAGGCUAAAACUCAAAGGAAUUGACGGGGACCCGCACAAGCGGCGGAGCAUGCGGAUUAAUUCGAUGCAACGCGAAGAACCUUACCAAGGCUUGACAUAUACGAGAACGCUGCAGAAAUGUAGAACUCUUUGGACACUC
This 631-nucleotide ribosomal RNA is filed under the name Microbacterium sp. So2Ps_1687. Its description in RNAcentral is "bacterial SSU rRNA". It matches the Rfam family "Bacterial small subunit ribosomal RNA", at positions 387 to 1029 of the family's 1533-position model. Lineage: Bacteria; Bacillati; Actinomycetota; Actinomycetes; Micrococcales; Microbacteriaceae. The record is from RNAcentral.